ACUCCACAACACACUCGUGUAAUUUUACAGUCUCCUCCUAAUGUUGCAAUUUGUUCUACGCAUCUAUGGCAGUCCUUUAGAAAUCCAAAUUAAGAAAUGACAGCAAAGCAAAGUCAGCUGAUUUCCCCCUACCAUAAUCAUGAUAAGGGAGCUGACACAUAAAGUCAUUUACUUUAUUAUUAUUAUUACAUUGUUUAAAUAUAUUUUGAAUAAAAUAGACAGCCAGUUCGUUCAUUUAAUAAAAAUUCAGGUAAUAUCUGAGGAGCUAAUAAGGAGCUGCGUGCUGUAUCCAUCAUGCUUGACCUUUUUUUAAAUUCUUUUUUUCUAACCUAUAUCACACAUCAUUGUAACUGCACUAGCCAUAUCCCCCUGUGAUGUUAGCACAGCAGACAACUGCUAACUUCCAGGAAUGACAAAAUACAGCACCAACCAACAAUUAGCACCAGAUUUGCUAAGCACACCAUAAAUAAACAGAUUUCACAUAUUUCAGGGUGGAGUUUUCCUUUAACUGGCCCACUACAACAGAGCUCAGCGUGUUCUGGAAAACUCACCCUCUAAGUGUAGUCGUGGUAAAAACAAAGCAUUUUGCACUUAACACAAUGAGAAAUGAUAUUUAGCCGAGUGACAGAGGAAUAUCUGGGACUUCAUGUUAUCUUGAUACAGCAAAAUGUUCAAACAUUCCAAUGCAAAAGGGGGAAAACUGAGGUUAGUAACCAAGUGAGCCCACAGUGUUAGGGUUUAUUUUAUUACAUUUUAGUGCUUGUAACUGCUCCCUCAGGCAGCACUGUGAGUGCACUACUUCAUGAGUUUUUUUUAUGACGGUUGAAACCACUCCAGUGAUUAAUGAUGACAAUCUGUCUGGAAUGGUUUCACCUUUCCUCCCUUUUUGGCUUCUUUCUGUCAUGUUAAUCUUUCAAGAGCUCUUCACUCUAUGCACUUGGCACAUUUUUGAAAUAGUCACUCAGGAAUUCAGACAGUUGAUUCACAAGGCAGGAGGUAUCUUGGGUGUUGGGUUUAUUUGUGGCAUAAAGGUGUGACUUUACGCAGCUCAGGAAGGGAAGACUCAAGCAGCAUCACUUGAGGAAUGUCUUGAGAAGAACAAAGUGGUCUCGGCAUGCUUCAAGAUGAGGUUGCUAAAAAGAUGUUCACCAACUUGGUGCAAAUAUUGUGUGAUCCUUUACUGGUCACGGGGAAGCCUGGAGCCUAUCCCAGGGAGCAUCGGGCACAAGGCGGGGUACACCCUGGACAGGGUGCCAAUCCAUGGACCAGAAGCAUACCAAAAAUUCCUGUAGUUUUCCAGGGAAAAGCAAAUCGCAGAGGUGGUUCCACAUUCGUUACAGAGAAAUUGCCUUCCUUCACAGUGAAAGAGCUUGGUGUGCUUCUGUUUAAUAGAAUAUUAAGUUGAACUAUCAAUGCUUCAGACAGAAUCUGGUAAUAAAAAUAGUGUCAAAUGUUGUACUUAAAAAAACAAUGUUAAUUAAUGUUAUUACAUUGUUUCACUACAUUAGCAUCAGUAAUCCAAAACAUACUGAAACAAGCAGAGCCUUGGCUUUGAGACAUUGACCUUUGCACAUACAUUUUGUCCAAGAUUUCAGCCAGAAAUAUUUGGCAAAAUGGCUCAGUUAAGUCCUGUGUUUUGCUUUGAUUGCCAUGGAGAUUCCAAAACUUCCUGCUUGGUCUGUGCAUGGAAUGCAUCUGCCCCCUCCUCGUCUUCCUGCUCCUGCUGAAAAAUUCCCCUUCCUCUUUCAUUUGGCCUCAAAUUAUUGUCUGUAUCUCUGUCUAUCUAUCUGUCAGACACACAUUUAAUCUUAUUGCCUUCUACUUCUAAUUUUACUACACAAACAAAUGCUGCGUUGAGGAUCAAACUUCAAAAAUACUUUUCUGCAUUUUAUUUGCUUGUUCUUGGAACAUCUGAAAAUUCGUUGUGCGUCAUGUAACCCUUGAAAUAAAUUUCUUUUGCUCACAAACUACACAUCCCAGUGGUAUGCUGUGGCAUCUCUGA
Molecule: long non-coding RNA, 2002 nt
Organism: Ictalurus punctatus (channel catfish)
Lineage: Eukaryota; Metazoa; Chordata; Actinopteri; Siluriformes; Ictaluridae
Exons: 4
Source: RefSeq, a predicted model, not a curated record